This 86-nucleotide transfer RNA is filed under the name Hygrophoropsis aurantiaca. Its description in RNAcentral is "tRNA-Ala". It matches the Rfam family "tRNA". From Rfam's summary of the family: Transfer RNA (tRNA) molecules are approximately 80 nucleotides in length. Their secondary structure includes four short double-helical elements and three loops (D, anti-codon, and T loops). Further hydrogen bonds mediate the characteristic L-shaped molecular structure. tRNAs have two regions of fundamental functional importance: the anti-codon, which is responsible for specific mRNA codon recognition, and the 3' end, to which the tRNAs corresponding amino acid is attached (by aminoacyl-tRNA synthetases). tRNAs cope with the degeneracy of the genetic code in two manners: having more than one tRNA (with a specific anti-codon) for a particular amino acid; and 'wobble' base-pairing, i.e. permitting non-standard base-pairing at the 3rd anti-codon position. The record is from RNAcentral. Lineage: Eukaryota; Fungi; Basidiomycota; Agaricomycetes; Boletales; Hygrophoropsidaceae.
GGGCCCUUGGCACAGUUGGUAGCGCGCACGCUUCGCAUUAAUUUGGGAAUUGCGUGAGGUCGUGGGUUCAACUCCCACAGUGUCCA